UUGGAGGGCAAGUCUGGUGCCAGCAGCCGCGGUAAUUCCAGCUCCAAUAGCGUAUAUUAAAGUUGUUGCAGUUAAAAAGCUCGUAGUUGAAUUUCGGGAUCAAUAUUUCGGUCAUGCCGUUGGUAUGCACUGUUAUCAUUGAUUUCUCACCUUCUAAAGAACCGUAAUGCCAUUAAUUUGGUGUUACGGGGAAUUAGGACUGUUACCCUGAAAAAAUUAGAGUGUUUAAAGCAGGCUCACGCUUGAAUACAUUAGCAUGGAAUAAUGAAAUAGGACAUCCGAUUCUAUUUUGUUGGUUUCUAGGAUCGAUGUAAUGAUUAAUAGGGAUAGUUGGGGGCAUUAGUAUUCAAUUGUCAGAGGUGAAAUUCUUGGAUUUAUUGAAGACUAACUACUGCGAAAGCAUUUGCCAAGGAUGUUUUCAUUAAUCAAGAACGAAAGUUAGGGGAUCGAAGACGAUCAGAUACCGUCGUAGUCUUAACCAUAAACUAUGCCGACUAGGGAUCGGAUGAUGUUAAUUUUUUAAUGACUCAUUCGGCGCCUUACGGGAAAC
This 550-nucleotide ribosomal RNA is filed under the name uncultured fungus. RNAcentral describes it as "SSU rRNA". It matches the Rfam family "Eukaryotic small subunit ribosomal RNA", at positions 548 to 1098 of the family's 1831-position model. The record is from RNAcentral. RNAcentral also lists the same sequence under 1 other name. Lineage: Eukaryota; Fungi.